UACAGAGGGGGCAAGCGUUAUUCGGAAUUAUUGGGCGUAAAGGGCGCGUAGGCGGCUUUGCAAGUGACGGGUGAAAUCCCUCGGCUUAACCGAGGAACUGCCUGUCAAACUGCAUGGCUUGAGACCGGGAGAGGUGAGUGGAAUUCCCAGUGUAGCGGUGAAAUGCGUAGAUAUUGGGAGGAACACCAGUGGCGAAGGCGGCUCACUGGACCGGUACUGCCGCUGAUGCGCGAAAGCGUGGGGAGCAAACAGG
Molecule: ribosomal RNA, 253 nt
Filed under: uncultured bacterium
Lineage: Bacteria
Description: partial 16S ribosomal RNA
Rfam family: Bacterial small subunit ribosomal RNA
Source: RNAcentral